Molecule: ribosomal RNA, 520 nt
Filed under: Phengodidae sp. UPOL RK0364
Lineage: Eukaryota; Metazoa; Arthropoda; Insecta; Coleoptera; Phengodidae
Description: partial 16S ribosomal RNA
Rfam family: Archaeal large subunit ribosomal RNA (bases 384-520)
Source: RNAcentral
CAUCUCUUUAUGAAUAAUAAUUUAAGGUUUAAUCUGCUCAAUGAUAAUUUUAAAUUGCCGCGGUAAAUUAACUGUGCAAAGGUAGCAUAAUAAAUUGUUUUUUUAUUGAAAACUUGAAUGAAUGAUUGGACAAAAAAUUUUCUGUCUCAAUAUAAGUAUUUUUAAUUUUACUUUAAAGUAAAAAGGCUUUUAUUUUUUUAAGGGACGAGAAGACCCUAUAGAGUUUUAUUUAGUUUUAUUUAUUAAGUUUAUAUAAUUAAUGUUAUUAUUUAAAGUUGAGUUUAACUGGGGUUGUUGAUUAAUUAAUUAAAAUUUAUUAGUUUAUAUCAUUGAUUUAUGAUUAUUUUAUAUUUAUUUUUGAAAUUAUAUUAAAUUACCUUAGGGAUAACAGCGUAAUCUUUAUUUGAAGUUCAUAUUUAAAUAAGGGAUUUCGACCUCGAUGUUGGAUUAAAAUUUAUAUUUAGUGGAGAUAUUAAAUUAUUUAGUCUGUUCGACUAUUAAAAUUUUACAUGAUCUGAGU